AUCAGAUUUAGUUCUCUCUGGGUCAAUAACGAUAUGAAACACCUUUGCCUCGAUGACAAGUGACUUCUGGCUUUCAGAUCACAAAGGUGCCGCACUCCAAUGAGAAUAACCACUGCCCUCCACUAUAUAUUCAUUGGCAUUGCCAUCGAUGGGUUCAUCACUGUCAAUCAGCAGAUGGGGGGGGGGGGCGAUCCAAGUAAUUAGUAAAUCUCCAGGAUCGUACAUGCAGUAACACGUGAUCUUUGUAGUAUUGUGGAACAUGACCAGAACUUGAAAUAAUCCCAAAGGAGAGAGACAAAUUGGGCCAAGUCACAGGUUGAUUGUAGUCAGAAACAGCCCAUUCUCAUAAAGACAGGGAUAUAGUCAGAUAAUUUGAUGGUCAGUCAGAGUGUCUGAUCCAAGCCUUGUUAGAAGAUGAGUGCUUAUGGAAACAUGGAAAUCUACAAUAUAAUACACAGUGUGCCGUCCAUGUAACCUGUUCCAGAAACUGCCUCCUAUUUCCCAACUGCAUUGCACUCUGUGUAUUCUGAGCUCCAUGAAGUUAUCUGAAUCUCUCAAAAGACUGCAUAGUAUCUGUCUGUACUGUCAUCGCUGGCUGUGUAUUCCAUACACCUGCUACUCUGUGUGAGAAACCUAUCUAUGACAUUCCAAUCGACCAAGCACCUUAAAACAAUGCCCCUUGUGUUUGCCAAUUCAGCCCCAGGAAAAAGCCUCUGGCUGUCCACACGAUCAAUGCCUCUCAUCAUCUUUUACACAUCUAUCAGGUCACCUCUCAUCCUCCUUCGCUACAAAGUUCACUCAACCUAUUGUCAUAAGGCAUGUUCUCCAAUCCAUGCAACAUCCUUGUAAAUCUCCUCUGCACUCUUUCUAUAGUAUCCACAUCCUUCCUGUAAUGAGGAAACUGAACAGAAUACUCGAAGUGGGGUAUAAAUCAGGUCUUGUACAGCUGCAACAUUACCUCACCACUCGUGAAUUCAGUUCCAUGGUUGAUGAAGGCCUUAUUAACAACAAUGACAAUCAGCGCUGCAGCUUUAAUUGUAAAAUUGACAUGGACCCCAAUAUCUCGCUGAUCCUCCACACUGCCAAGAGUCCUAACAUAAUAUUGUAUUCCAAAUCAGGUUGGAUAGAUUUUGGCAUAGUAGGGGAAUUAAGGGUUAUGGGGAAAAGGCAGGUAGGUGGAGAUGCCCAUCGCCAGAUCAGGCAUGUCCUUAUUAAAUGUUGGAGCAGGCUCGACGGGCCGGACGGCCGACUCCUGCUCCUAUUUCUUAUUUUCUCACCACAGACUAUAAUCUCUCCUGAAAUACUCUCCUUCUCCCAUUGAUGUCUUUUGCAAAUAUUUUUUACAGGUUUGAAAUGGCAGAACACUUGCGCAUGGGAAUCUCAAACACAACAACACAUCAGUUUUGCUGAAUGACUGGAUAUUUAAGGAGUGACCAAAUAUUUUCUUUGCAGCACCAACACCUCUGUUGUCGAUCCACGGAGGUGAAGAAUUAUCUCAUAACAUCUGGUAAUGUGUUCUGUCACUGAAAUCAAGCAUUCUGUUGUAACUCAGUGAAAUCCACUUGAACCGGGGUGCUGAGAACACACCAGCAUUUGUUCACUGGAGAUCAGUUCUUCUACUGCAUUGAUUGUAGACGGGAUUCAAACGUCUGACUGUCUGAAUUGCAGAGAAUUGAUCGCAGUGAGAUAUCAUUCUCCUUCUCUCAGUGUGGGAGGGGAUUCACUCACAGCCUACCCGCAGACACGCUGGUGAGUUCACAUUAGGGAGAGGCCAUUCACCUGCUCUGUGUGAGGGAGGGGAACUACUCAAUCAUCCAGCCUGAAGAUACAUCAGCAAGUUCACACCACAGUGAGAUGCUCCACCUGUUCUGACAGCGGGAAGCAAAACAUUCUGUCAUCGAUGCUGAAGAUAUAUCCUAAAGUUCACCAGUGAGAGGACAUUGACCUGCUCGGAUGGUGGGAAGACAUUCACACGCUCAACCAGACCACAGUGACACCAAUGAGUUCACACCGGGGAGAAGCCAUUCACCUGCUCUGAAUAGGGGAAGAUAUUCACUCAUUCGUCCACACUACAUAGACACCAGCGAGUUCACACUGGGGAGAGGCCAUUCUCCUGCUCCUGAAAGGAGUCAAAUCACCUGCUGCAACAUCAGUUAGUUCACACUAGGGAGAUGCCAUUCACAUGCUCAGACUGUGGGAAAGGAUUCACCCAGUCAUCUCAACUGAAGGAGCAUCAGCGAGUCCACACUGAGGAGAAGCCAUUCACUUGCUCUGAAUGUGGGAAAGGAUUUGCUCGGUCAUCUGAACUGAAGGUACAUCAGCGAGUUCACACUGGGGAGAGGCCAUUCACCUGCUCAGACUGUGGGAAGGGAUUCACUCACUCGUCCAACCUGCACAGACACCAGCGAGUUCACACUGGGGAGAAGCCAUUUAUCUGCUCUGAAUGUGGGAAGGUAUUUGCUCAGUCAUCUGAACUGAAGUCCCAUCAGCGAGUCCACACUGGGGAGAAGCCAUUCACUUGCUCAGAAUGUGGGAAAGGAUUCGCUCGGUCAUCUGUACUGAAGUCACAUCAGCGAGUUCACACUCGGGCGAUGCCAUUCACCUGCGCAGACUGUGGGAAGGGAUUCACUCACUCGUCCAAUCUACAGAGACAUCAGCGAGUUCACACUGGGGAGAAGCCAUUCACAUGCUCUGAAUGUGGGAAAGGAUUCGCUCAGUCAUCUGAACUGAAGUCACAUCAGCGAGUUCAUACGGGAGAGAAGCCAUUCACCUGCUCUGACUGUGGGAAAGGAUUUGCUCGGUCAUUUGAACUGAAGUUACAUCAACGAGUUCACACUAGUGAGAGGCCGUUCACCUGCUCUGACUGUGGGAAGGGAUUCACUCACUCGUCCAAUCUACACAGACACCAGCGAGUCCACACUGGAGAGAAGCCAUUCAUAUGCUCUGAAUGUGGGAAACGAUUUGCCCAGACAGCUCAACUGAAGUUACAUCAGCGAGUCCACACUGGGGAGAGGCCGUUCACUUGCUCUGAAUGUGGGAAGGGAUUUGCUCAGUCAUCUGAACUGAAGGUACAUCAGCGAGUUCACACUGGUGAGAGGCCGUUCAGCUGCUCAGAAUGUGGGAAAGGAUUCAUUCGUUCAUCUCAACUCCUGAGACACCAGCAAAUUCAUACUGGGGAGAAACCAUUCAUCUGCUCAGAAUGUGGGAAGGGAUUCACCGAUUCAGUUCAUCUGAAAGAACAUCAGUUUGUUCACACUGUGGAGAGGCCGUUCACCUGCUCAGACUGUGGGAAAGGAUUCACUCGGCGUUUUAGUCUAUUAACGCACCAGUUAGAUCACAGUGAGGAGAAACCAUUCAUAUGCUCUGAAUGUGGGAAAGGAUUCACACAGUCAUCUCAACUGAAGGAGCAUCAGCGAGUCCACACUGGGGAGAAGCCGUUCAUCUGCUCUGAAUGUGGGAAGGGAUUUGCUCAGUCAUCUCAACUGAAGUUACAUCAGCGAGUCCACACUGGGGAGAGGCCAUUCAACUGCUCUGAAUGUGGGAAAGGAUUCAGUCGUUCUUCUCAACUCCUGAGACACCAGCGAAUUCACACUGGGGAGAAACCAUUCAUCUGCCCAGAGUGUGGGAAGGGAUUCACCGAUUCAGCUCAGCUGAAAGAACAUCAGUUUGUUCACACUGGGGAGAGGCCAUUCACCUGCUCAGACUGUGGGAAAAGAUUCAGUCGUUCAUCUCAGCUCUCGAGGCAUCAGCAAAUUCACACUGGGGAGAAACCAUUCUGAGGAAAUGCGGAUAUAUAAAAAAUUAUUUUGAACCUAAGUAACCUCUAGAUAAAAGAAUAAUUGGGACUGAACAGGAAUUUUUGAACUAAAGUAAACUCUGUCUUCAGCAGUUAAGAAACUCAAUGGCUUAUACUGGUUUCCUUUUAAUUGUCAGAGGGACAUUGAGAAUUUGAUAAUAUAUAUUGUACUCGUGUUUGAGUCAGGACUCAUCGAUAAGGUCAGCAAUGAACAUCGGUCUGGAAUGAAGUCAGGACCUUGCAAAGGGAAUAGCUGAUAAGGACUGGACUGUAUAUCCAUCUAUAUUCAAGCCUUGAGUUAGUGCACUCUGUUAUCUAAGACAUUAAGUUUUGCACCAACAGACUUGGUGGGCGUACCAGUUCUAAUAGCAGCUUGCAACAGUGAUGUAUGGGACUUACUAUGUAUGAAUAUACUGCUGUAACCUGACUGAGAGAGUCCACUUGUCAGAUGGUUGGCAGCACUGACAUGCCUUCCCUCUGAUAACUGGGUCUCAGACUCUUGCAAGAGAAUGCAAUAAACUGUGGUGCCGAGAGGAAACUGGUCUCCCGAGUUUAACAUUGGGUGUCACGAACAGGAUCCCAAUACAGAGAGUGCGAAGCAGACAGACGGAGUAAGCGGCCGGACCACUCCGGGAACUGUGGAGACCGACCAGGUGCCCAACGGGUAUUUCACCUUUUGUCGCUCACCGUCAGUUCCUGUGGAGGCACGGUUCCUCGCCGAAGGCUGCUUGCAUAUCUUGACGGGAUCGGGAAUGUCUCUGUCGGAAGACUUGUAUAAGAAAGCAGCUGCAAAGCGUGCACACGCCCAGCUAAUCCACAGCCACUUCCAGGACAGCAGCGACACG
Hypanus sabinus (Atlantic stingray) is the source of this 4641-nucleotide RNA transcript. It is a transcript of the gene named zinc finger protein 420-like, with no coding region annotated. The record is from RefSeq and is a predicted model, not a curated record. Lineage: Eukaryota; Metazoa; Chordata; Chondrichthyes; Myliobatiformes; Dasyatidae. The transcript is spliced from 2 exons.